AUUCCAGCUCCAAGAGCGUAUAUUAAAGUUGUUGCAGUUAAAAAGCUCGUAGUUGGAUUUCUGGUACAAUGCGCCUGGCCCGCGGCAGCAAUGCCUGUGAGUGCCGGUGCGCGUUUGCCAUCCUUCUAGAAAACGUUUCUACCCUUUACUGGGCCGGACUCGCGAUCUAGAUCUUUUACUUUGAAAAAAUUAGAGUGUUCAAAGCAGGCUUUUGCUGUGAAUACAUUAGCAUGGAAUAAUAAUCUAGGACUUCGGUUUUAUUUUGUUGGUUUCUAACACUGAAGUAAUGAUUGAUAGGGAUAGUUGGGGGUGCUAGUAUUGGCCGGCCAGAGGUGAAAUUCUUGGAUUCGGUCAAGACUAACUUAUGCGAAAGCAUUCACCAAGGAUGUCUUCAUUG
This 397-nucleotide ribosomal RNA is filed under the name Protaspa sp. Its description in RNAcentral is "partial small subunit ribosomal RNA". It matches the Rfam family "Eukaryotic small subunit ribosomal RNA", at positions 582 to 975 of the family's 1831-position model. Lineage: Eukaryota; Cercozoa; Thecofilosea; Cryomonadida; Protaspidae. The record is from RNAcentral.